Molecule: transfer RNA, 77 nt
Filed under: Thiomicrospira sp.
Lineage: Bacteria; Pseudomonadati; Pseudomonadota; Gammaproteobacteria; Thiotrichales; Piscirickettsiaceae
Description: tRNA-Met
Rfam family: tRNA
About the family: Transfer RNA (tRNA) molecules are approximately 80 nucleotides in length.
Source: RNAcentral
GGGCCCUUAGCUCAGUUGGUUAGAGCAUCCGACUCAUAAUCGGCAGGUCCGCGGUUCGAGUCCGCGAGGGCCCACCA